Non-coding RNA from Triticum aestivum (bread wheat), 111 nucleotides. Lineage: Eukaryota; Viridiplantae; Streptophyta; Magnoliopsida; Poales; Poaceae. The record is from Rfam.
AAUGUACUCCCUCCGAUCCAUAUUACUUCUCUUAGAUUUGUCUAGAUACGGAUGCAACAUCCGUAUCUAGACAAAUCUAAGACAAGUAAUAUGGAUCGGAGGGCGUAUCAG